Pelodiscus sinensis (Chinese soft-shelled turtle) is the source of this 1596-nucleotide non-coding RNA. NCBI's taxonomy places the organism in Eukaryota, Metazoa, Chordata, Testudines, Trionychidae. The record is from RefSeq and is a predicted model, not a curated record.
UGCGAGAGUAAAUUUCCAUGCACAUGGCAACGAAUAUAGAAGACUCUGGAGAUCCCCAUUCUGCCUCUUUCCUGUUCUAAUUCUCUGGACUGUGGAUUUACACCUAAAAGGAGCAUCUUGAACUAUGGAUUGAGGACAUUCCAAUCUUCUCUUCUUGAUUGCGGGCUGUACUUCUGACAUCUCCAUUGGACCCAUGUGAAUGGCAAAGUGAUGAUCAGAAUGCCUGUUUUUUCCCUCUUUCAUAUCAAGGCAGGGAGCCUGAAACUUGCUGAGAUAGCACACAGUGCAGGAUCACUAAACAGGCAAACUCUCACUGAAGUAACUGGAAAUCCGUAACCCAUUAUCCUAGCAGUAAAGAAGAGGAAAGUGUUGUGAAUAUCAUCAUCACAGAGAAUUAUGCACGGUGAUCUUGUUUUGUCUCAGUUGUUUUUAGCCCAGUUCCAAAGCAGGUAAGACCAAGACCAGACCAAGAUCUGGAGUUUUGGCUGGGGAUAUGCAUGUAGACCUGGAUUUUAGCUACUGAAAGGAUCACCUUAUGUGAUCUUUACAUUUGAUGAGGUCAGGCCUUUUUGCCUUUUCUGUGCCUCAGCUGUCUUAUGCAGUGUAAGUCCGUCUCCUGAAACAACUCUAAUGUUUCUUAUUACCUUAAACAAGGAGAUACGGGUUUUGUCAUCACAGCAGGCAGGAGCAGCCCUAGACAAGCUGCCAGCAACUGGCGCCCUAGGCAAAAUGCGCGAUCGGUGCGCGAUCAGCAUCCCCGCUUCCAAAGCCCUCAACGGCCAUUUAUCUUGGCACCCUAGGUGACCGCCUCGUUCGCCUGUAUUGACGGGCUACCACUGACAGCAGGUCAUACUAUUCAAUCUCCUUAGACUUUCCAGUGGGUGUUAUGCUUAGUCAUGUGGAUUUGCUAGGUCAGAGGUGGCAGAAGAUCAUUUUGAUCCAUAAAAACAUUAUCAGGAAUGGAUGAUAUUGAAAUAAGCCUAGAGGGGCGUCAGAAUGAUCGGACUAAUACAUGUUCUUGGAGACUGAGAUUUCUCUUGUUGGCUCCCCUACCUAGAUUAAAAUUGAGAUUGCUGUGGGCUAAUUGCUAAUGAUCUUUCAUUGGACAUUUGGAGAGGCUAGUGAUUGCUAUCCUUUUCUUUGGGAACUUAUACCUGUGGCUUUGGAGAAGAGGGCAUUCAUUGCCUUCCUGCUUCUGGUCCCUUGACAACAUACUAACGAGACCCGCUAAGGGGGGAAAAGGCCAUGCUAUUUCUGGUACAGUUAAAAGGCAGGUUUAAAAAAUUAGUCUACAUGUAUCAUUGUAAACAUUUUUUUCUUGUUUCUUCUACUGAGAUGUAGUGCCCAUCUUUAAAAAAAGGGAAGAAGGACAAUCCAGGGAUCUACAGACUGGUCUGCCUCACCUCAGUUGUCAGAAAAAUCAUGGAGGAGAUCCUCAAGAAAUCCAUUUUGAAGAAUUUGGAAGAGAGAAAAAUGAUCAGAAAAAGUCAACAUGAAUUCACAAGGGCAAGUCAUGCUUGACCAACCUGAUCGCUUUCUCUGACAAGAUAACUGGCUCUGUGACAUGAUAAACCUGGACUUUAGCAAAGCUUUUGA